RNAcentral lists this ribosomal RNA (136 nucleotides) under uncultured bacterium. RNAcentral's name for it is "partial 16S rRNA". It matches the Rfam family "Bacterial small subunit ribosomal RNA", at positions 355 to 507 of the family's 1533-position model. The record is from RNAcentral.
UCGGGAAUAUUGCGCAAUGGAGGAAACUCUGACGCAGUGACGCCGCGUAUAGGAAGAAGGUUUUCGGAUUGUAAACUAUUGUCGUUGGGGAAGAUAAAAGACAGUACCCAAGGAGGAAGCUCCGGCUAACUACGUG